This is a long non-coding RNA of Cavia porcellus (domestic guinea pig), 6677 nucleotides long. RefSeq lists it as uncharacterized. The record is from RefSeq and is a predicted model, not a curated record. NCBI's taxonomy places the organism in Eukaryota, Metazoa, Chordata, Mammalia, Rodentia, Caviidae. The transcript has 5 exons.
UAGCCACAGGAAGGGACAAUGAGGAAGUCACAGCAAUGUUUAAGACAAAAGCCACAAACUGAGCAAGGACCAGAAGCACUGAGCGAAGGGUGGAAGAGGAGGACUUCAUUUUUCAAAUAAUCUGAAUGGCCAGCUAUGCCUUGGCCAUACCUGUGGGACCUGCCUCAAAGUCUUAAUUUCUAAGGUGGCUUCCAUGAAGGAACAGAAGAAAAUCUUGAUGUUUUCAUGCAGCAGCAGCAGUGUGGAGCCUCAGAAGAAAACAGAAGACAGAAGCCUGGGGGGGAUAGCAAGGGGUGCGGGGAGGAGGCUCUGGUCAGAAGCCUUGGUUUUGUGGCAAAUUGACUUAUUUUCUAUCAUGUCUCUAAAAUGUCUUUCUCAUCUUUGCUACCAUUUUCAUAAAGUCUGCAUCAUCCUUGGUCUGGGCAAUAAUUUCUCUUUUCUUACACAUUUAUAUAAGACCUACAAUGUUUCAGGUGCUUUCUAUUAUCAUCUCAGUCAGCACAAUCUCCCUGUGAGCCAGGGAUCAAUAGCUUCAUUUUAUAGAUGAGGAAAUGGAGGCUCAAAGGUUUUAGAGACCUGCCCAAAGUUAGAUGCUAAUAAGGCACAGACACAGCUGGCAUCUGGACCCGGGGUGGGGGGGAUUUAUGUCUGUGCUCCUUCUAUUAGAUUUGUAAGUGAAGGAUUUUGAAAAUUUUAAAAAGUGAUAAUUGAAUAUAUUUGCUUUAUUUUUAUUUAUUUAUUUAUUUUGGUGCCAGGAAUUGAACUCAGGACCUUGCGCUUGUUAGGUAAACACAUUUGCUUUAAAAGAAAAAAAAAAAAAAAAAGGAGAUAUUAUAGGUUAAUAUUCUCUCCUCUCUAUUCUUACUUGCUAGUCUUAUUUCCCCACCUCCUGAAGGUAACCCCUGAUGCAGCUGUAGAUUUUUUCAGAUCUUAUUCUCUAGGUAUUUCUUAAUCUAUAUCAGUUUGUGGCCCUUGCAUCCCAAGGCCUGGACCUCACUGUCCUAUCUAGAUAGCACUGCCUUGCACCCCUGUCCCCAGAAAGCAGCAUCAUGUUGUGGCCAAGCACCUCUACUGGGUAACUGGUUGGUUACAAAUGUUUCUUGCCAAGUAGGCUUAUUAUGUACAAGUGAUUCUCAGAAAGGGCAGCAGCCUGCCAGACAGUUCCAGGGUGAAGGACAUUUCCAAUACCGGGACACCAUCAUCACUAUACACAGAACUAAUCAGAAAAGUACCAUUUUGGACCAAUUAGAAACUGACUAUUUUCAGUCCUUCAUUUCAAUAUCUUCAUUUGGUGCUGUUCAUAGGCCAAUUGAAGGAUGCUCUUUUCAGGCCUUCCUUUGCAGGUGGGCACAACCAAUCAAAAGACACUAUUUCUGAUCCUUCAUUUACAUGUAAUAAAAAGCCAAACAAGUUUUUUGAUAGGUCAGUUUAUGCAUAGUGUGGCAUCUAGUGAGUGUUUGAUAGGACAACUUUCCCAGUGCCUUCUUUACAUGAAAGAGAGACAACCUGGUAUUUCUGAAUACCCUUUCCCCUCAUCCUUAGCCAUUCAUGAGCCUUCUCAUUGGCCCGGUGUCACUCUGCAGCACAUUUUCUGCCUUUGAUCAAUGUACACUUUUUCCCUUUUUCUAUGUUUCUUGUCCAGUUCUUUGUUCACGAUACCAAGAGCCUGCAAAGCCCUGGCAUCUCCAAUAAUAUUUCUCAUUCUCUGCUUUAUUUCAUGCAGCAAAUAUUUAACAUAUUUCAUUUUCUUUAGGUUUCUAUCUCUUCUUGUUUUGGCGAUUUCUUUUUUUCUUCACCUCUCUAUCAGAGCAUCUAGGUCUUUUUCUUUCUUUAACAAUGGUUCUUUUUUGUAGCUUCCUAGAAAGGUAUUUAGGUAAAUACACUGGUACCUUGAUUCACAAACUCAAUUUUCUCUGCAAUUCUGAUUGUAAAUUAAACUGGAUGAGAACCAAAUCAGAUUUUCCCAUAAGGUCAACAUCGAACCUGACCAUUGAAUUUGAUUCGGUUUUCACCCAACUCGGUUUGCAAGCAGAAUCAUAGAAAGAAUCAAGUCUGCGAGCUGAGGUACCAUUGUAUCAGUUUGUGCCAUACAACUAGUUUAAUGUAACUCUAUUAUGGAGUAACUUAAUAUUUUCUUUUUUAGCUUCUCUUUAGUUAGUGAGACUUGUGAACUAGUGAUGGGAAAAUGAGUUGUUUUAAGGCUCGCAGACUUCCUGAAAUCAUCCUUGGAAGAUUUCUCAAGACAAGCAAUACAUGGUCACUCUCACUCCUGUACAUUGUUUCUCUAAGCCCUGUGGCCCUGCAGUAGGACACCCAGAAGCAGAAGGGUCUCAUCUGUGAAGGGGGAAGCCAGUGUUGCUGAUCUGCAUGGAUGCAGGCACACAGAGCUUGAAAUCUGGAGGAACCAAGGAUUGGAAGCCCAGGCUGUGGACCCCCAGAGCCAUCACUCAGGGCAUGCACGUUACCUGGCCAGGACUUGUCCAAAAUGCGUUUAGCUACUGAUGUUAGAGAUCAGACAGAAGAGGCAAAGAAUGGAGAGGGAGAAGGAAUUCCUGUCCAGGAUAUUGGAAGGGAUGCGUGGAGAAGAGAGAUUGUUAGAAUCAGAACUGUCAAAUACCAGCUUUGGAAAGGACCUCAGAAAACCUUUCGAACAAGCUUUGUCCUAUAAAAAAGGAAAAAAGACCAGGAGAUUGACACCUGCUCAGUGUCACUCAGUUGGGAAUGGAACGACCGGCCACACGGUGGCAGCACUGUCCCCUAGCUCCUUGGCUGUGAUUAGCCCAGUAGGUGUUUUUGCUUCCACAGCAGGAGCACCCACCACCAGCACCACCACCUCCAGUUCCUUCAGAAACAAGCCGUUCUUUGAGGCGUACCCACAGUACUUAUUAGAAAGAGUUUUCUUAAUGCGUCUCCUUUCCUAAGUUAAUGACUUGGAAACGAUGAGGUUAGGCAUGAGGGGGCAACGUUGUGUCUUUUCCUAAUAACCAAUGUUUUACAUCUAACUUGCUAGGCUUGUGAAUCCAGCGGCUGUAUACAGGCGGAUGGGGAGAAGGGAGGUGAUGAGACACUCUAAUCACACUCUAAUCGAAUCAGGCUGGCCCGGAUGUGCUGAUGAGCAGGUGCUCUGGGAGAGGUCCCGGGCAGGCUCUGCUGUGCCCCUUAUCUGAACAGAGCUGAUGAGCUGGCCCCCUUCCAGAGGAGGACCAGAGCAGGGAGGGACACGGAAAGCAGGAGUGUCAGGGACAUAUGGAAGGAAAAGUGAGUAUUUACAGAGGAAAAGAUGACGUGAAUGCUGCGUUUAAACAUCGGAAGAGGUGUUGGGGAGAAGAGGGAUUGUUAGAUUGGUUGAAUGCUGGCUUUGGAAAGGACCCCAGGAAUCCCAUCAUGCAAACUUUGCCUCGUGAAAAAGGAGAAGAAGGUCUGGAGGUGGAUGCCUGCUCAGUGUCAUGCAGUUGGGUGAACUAUGAUUCAAAUAUGUUCUCCGGUGGGGUUGUGAAGGGUAGAGUGGGUGGGGUGAUGCAUGAGGGGUGGCCUCCGUUUAGUGUUGAAGCAGAGACUGGGUGACUGGCGGGUUCUUGAAUCACCCCGAGGGCUGACCACAGCCCAGCCACUAGAAAACCUCUGUGUUUUCUGCUGUGGUUCUCCUGGACUGCCACAGGACUCUUGGAAUAAUUGGGAAUAACUUAUGGUGAUGAGAAGUUUGUGUGUACAGUCCUGGAGUGAUGGGAUCACAAAGUCUGGCUUUUUAAAAAGGCUGCUUCCAUGUAGUAGCGGCAAACAGGAGGCUGGCAGUCUCUGGCCCAGGGUUCCCCAGUGUCCACGGGGCCACAGGCUGUUUUGGGGGCAUUAACAUGGAGCUUUCAUUGCCAACUUUGCUCUUCCUGUCUCCCUGGAAAUUAGUUUCUUUCUUUCUUUCUUUCUUUCUUUCUUUCUUUCUUUCUUUCUUUCUUUCUCUCUCACUGGGGAUCGUGUUCAGGGAACAAUGAAACUAUAUCUCCAGCCCUUUUCAUUACUCUUCUAUGUUUGAUUUUGAGACAAGAUCUUUGUGAGCUUCCCAGGUUGGCCUCAAGCUUAAUGGUCCUUCUGCCUCAGCCUCCCCAGUAGCUAGGACUACACGUAUGCACCAUCAUGCUCAGGUUAGAAAGUCCUCCUUAAGCAAUAUAAAUUGAGCAUCCCUUACAUGAAUAUAAAAAUAUGAAAUACUCCAAAAUAAAAAAGUUUGAACAUAGCCUAAUAGUAUAGAGGAAAAUUCCAUAUCUGAUCCCAUGGAGUGGAUCAUAAUCAAAACGCAAGUUCAUUAAAGAAAUUGUAUAAAAUAACCUUCAGGCUAUGUGUGUAUGGAGCAUGAUUUCAUGUUUAGACUUGAGUCUUAUCAACAAGACAUUGCAUAUGUAUAAGCAGCUGUUCUAGCCGCACCUCCACAUCUGAACACUUCUUGUCUCAAGCAUUUUGGAAAAGAGAUAUUCGACCAGUAUGGAGUAGAAAUGUUUGGCGACCUAUCCAGGCAUUGACUUGUUGCCUGUGUCAAUGUACCCACGUGAUCUGUGGGUGAUUUCACCACACUUUGUGUGGCUUUGAUGUGAAUGGUAAUAAAUUAGUUCAGACUGUUCCCUAGUCACAGGAUAAUGCUGAAAUUAAGUGUUUAAUGACUGUUUUUAAAAGAUGAAUAAGAAUGGUAGCAAUGCUCAAAGGAAAAUGAGGUCUUAUGUUCUAUUCCCCUGGAGCGUGGACUGGUAACAGUGGAAGGAAUGGUGGUAAUUAUGCGUCCCCAAUGUCUCACAAGUAUUCUAGGACUUCAGUGUGUAAAGAACAUAAGCAUAUGAAAUGGUUGCAUAUAUGCCUUUAAGUGUACUGGACAUAUAAUGGCUAGUGUAUUAAACAUCUUUGUCUACAGUGACCCAAAAGAAAUCACUUAGUUAAAAAGUAAGGAGACUGAAGAAAGGGAAAGGGAAGAAGAAGUGAAAGAAUUAAGGUGCCCCAUCACUACACACACACACAAGAAGAAAUUAAAUGUGCUAUGUAUAUGAACCCCCUCAAUGAAUGUCAUCAUUAUGUCAUUAUGGACUGAUGUCUUAAUUACUUUUCUCCUUGCUGAGAUAAAGUAUCUAGCACCCACAAUUAAGGGAAGAGAGAUUUAUUUCACUCAUGUUGUAGAGGUUUCAAUUCAUAGUUAACUGGUUCCAAAGCAGGGUGGUAUGGCGGAGGAGAAAUAGGCCAUGGCAUGGAGGAGCAGGCAGCAAGCAGCAGUAGCAAGCUAGCCCUCUUUCUGUCCCUUGUAAUCCAUCCAGGCUACGAGCUUAUUGAUUGGUGCUGUUACAGGCAGCUGAGCUAGUUAGAAAUAUUAUAAGCAGUCAGAGAGGGCUAGGCCCUCAAAGAAACUGGCACAGGGGACCAGAUGUCUGGUGACCUUGGAGGAGAUACAAUACCUCUUGCUGAGCCAGAUCUCAAAACAGAAGGCAAACAAAAGCAACCACACCCUUAAGUAUAAUCCUUAGGGAUUAAAUCUGGAUCACUUUGAGAACCCAGGAGUCACCACCCCAACCUCCUAUAGGAAUAAGCCACUGAUCCAUACAGAAUGCUCACUUGCCAUGUGACUUGCUUCCCUAAUUGUCCCUUAUUUAGUCUAUUUUACCUGAACAAUUAAACUAAUUGGUUGACCAUAGGUCUAUCCCAGUUUUCCCCACUUUAGACCCACCUCACCUCAUGGUUUUACUCUAAAAAACUCCUGAGAAAAUACAGAAUCUUUGGCAAACUACUAGGGACCCCUUCUGUCUCUCUCUCAGACAGAAGCUUUCUUUCUCUCAAUAAAUAUUUCUGCCCUUGCUCUCCCUGGUAAGCGGCUGUGGUGUGGCAGACUAUGGCCCUUCCAGGGGAAGAACCACUAGCGGCUCCUGAGAUCCGCGCCAUGUUGGAAAUUAGGACACUGGGAAACUAAGCAACCAGCUCACCUCCCUGCUAAGCUGUAGUGAACCUACUGGUGCCCGCAUAUAGUCAAACAUCCUUCCUCUGUCCCCCCAUUAGCAAAUGGGAACCAGAAAUCUGAGCAUAUCUUGAGAGGCUGACCAUAGCAAAUAAAGGGGUUUUCCUUCUACCAUCUCUUUGAAGGCAAACAUUUUUAUUACUGUUUUGCUUUAUCCUGAUUAAUGGUACUGCUCUAUUCAAUAUUCUGUUUUGAUAAGUUCUAUAAUGUUCUGUAUUUCAUUUUAUUUUGAUAUACGUGACUGAAAGAACAACUAUUGUAAAGAUAACGAAAUAUACUAUGAUACCUAUUACUGUUAUCCCGGUAACCUGCUGUCAAGUUCUGUACCAGUUUCACUACAUGGUCUCAGUUGGCUUUAUUCUGUCUUGUUCUGUUGUAUUUUACUACUUUAAAAAAAUAUUUUUGCUCUUAACUUCUAUUGUUCCUAAAAUUCAUUCUUUGAUUUUAGAGAACACAAACUUAUUCUGGACACAUGGCAGGUCAGGCAUUUCAUUCCCUGUCUCAGUGCCACCCAUACCCAGCGUGGGAAUUCUAUUAUCCACACCCUUUAUCCCAGCACUGCAUCUUUACUCCACAUUUACAUACCUUAAUCUGCCCCCCUUCCCAUAACUCCCCACUUUAUGACUAUGUGAGGCUUUGGGGAGACCUCUAGAUAUAAACUAUAACAACCCCAAGCAUGUACUAACAAAAAUUUAAA